RNAcentral lists this ribosomal RNA (429 nucleotides) under Chloroflexota bacterium. Its description in RNAcentral is "Chloroflexi bacterium partial 16S ribosomal RNA". It matches the Rfam family "Bacterial small subunit ribosomal RNA", at positions 355 to 776 of the family's 1533-position model. Lineage: Bacteria; Bacillati; Chloroflexota. The record is from RNAcentral.
UGGGGAAUAUUGCACAAUGGGCGCAAGCCUGAUGCAGCCAUGCCGCGUGUGUGAAGAAGGCCUUCGGGUUGUAAAGUACUUUCAGCGGGGAGGAAUGGAGUAAAGUUAAUACCUUUGCUCAUUGACGUUACCCGCAGAAGAAGCACCGGCUAACUCCGUGCCAGCAGCCGCGGUAAUACGGAGGGUGCAAGCGUUAAUCGGAAUUACUGGGCGUAAAGCGCACGCAGGCGGUUUGUUAAGUCAGAUGUGAAAUCCUCGGGCUCAACCUGGGAACUGCAUCUGAUACUGGCAAGCUUGAGUCUCGUAGAGGGGGGUAGAAUUCCAGGUGUAGCGGUGAAAUGCGUAGAGAUCUGGAGGAAUACCGGUGGCGAAGGCGGCCCCCUGGACGAAGACUGACGCUCAGGUGCGAAAGCGUGGGGAGCAAACAGG